RNAcentral lists this ribosomal RNA (253 nucleotides) under uncultured bacterium. RNAcentral's name for it is "partial 16S ribosomal RNA". It matches the Rfam family "Bacterial small subunit ribosomal RNA", at positions 524 to 776 of the family's 1533-position model. The record is from RNAcentral.
UACGUAGGGUGCAAGCGUUAAUCGGAAUUACUGGGCGUAAAGCGUGCGCAGGCGGUUCGCUAAGUCCGAUGUGAAAUCCCCGGGCUUAACCUGGGAACUGCAUUGGUGACUGGCGGGCUAGAGUAUGGCAGAGGGGGGUAGAAUUCCACGUGUAGCAGUGAAAUGCGUAGAGAUGUGGAGGAAUACCGAUGGCGAAGGCAGCCCUCUGGGCCAAUACUGACGCUCAUGCACGAAAGCGUGGGGAGCAAACAGG